This 460-nucleotide ribosomal RNA is filed under the name uncultured bacterium. RNAcentral's name for it is "partial 16S ribosomal RNA". It matches the Rfam family "Bacterial small subunit ribosomal RNA", at positions 338 to 795 of the family's 1533-position model. The record is from RNAcentral.
CCUACGGGAGGCAGCAGUGAGGAAUAUUGGUCAAUGGACGAGAGUCUGAACCAGCCAAGUAGCGUGAAGGAUGACUGCCCUAUGGGUUGUAAACUUCUUUUAUAUGGGAAUAAAAUGUUCCACGUGUGGGAUUUUGUAUGUACCAUAUGAAUAAGGAUCGGCUAACUCCGUGCCAGCAGCCGCGGUAAUACGGAGGAUCCGAGCGUUAUCCGGAUUUAUUGGGUUUAAAGGGAGCGUAGGUGGAUUGUUAAGUCAGUUGUGAAAGUUUGCGGCUCAACCGUAAAAUUGCAGUUGAAACUGGCAGUCGUGAGUACAGUAGAGGUGGGCGGAAUUCGUGGUGUAGCGGUGAAAUGCUUAGAUAUCACGAAGAACUCCGAUUGCGAAGGCAGCUCACUGGACUGCAACUGACACUGAGGCUCGAAAGUGUGGGUAUCAAACAGGAUUAGAGACCCUAGUAGUC